RNAcentral lists this ribosomal RNA (492 nucleotides) under uncultured bacterium. RNAcentral describes it as "partial 16S ribosomal RNA". It matches the Rfam family "Bacterial small subunit ribosomal RNA", at positions 29 to 507 of the family's 1533-position model. The record is from RNAcentral.
AGUGAACGCUGGCGGUAGGCCUAACACAUGCAAGUCGAACGGCAGCACAGUAAGAGCUUGCUCUUACGGGUGGCGAGUGGCGGACGGGUGAGGAAUACAUCGGAAUCUACUUUUUCGUGGGGGAUAACGUAGGGAAACUUACGCUAAUACCGCAUACGACCUACGGGUGAAAGCAGGGGAUCUUCGGACCUUGCGCGAUUGAAUGAGCCGAUGUCGGAUUAGCUAGUUGGCGGGGUAAAGGCCCACCAAGGCGACGAUCCGUAGCUGGUCUGAGAGGAUGAUCAGCCACACUGAGACUGAGACACGGUCGAGACUCCUACGGGAGGCAGCAGUGGGGAAUAUUAGACAAUGGGCGCAAGCCUGAUCCAGCCAUACCGCGUGGGUGAAGAAGGCCUUCGGGUUGUAAAGCCCUUUUGUUGGGAAAGAAAAGCAGCAGGUUAAUACCCCGCUGUUCUGACGGUACCCAAAGAAUAAGCACCGGCUAACUUCGUG